GAUGAAGAACGUAGUGAAAUGCGAUAAGUAAUGUGAAUUGCAGAAUUCAGUAAAUCAUCGAAUCUUUGAACGCACAUUGCGCCCGUCAGUAUUCUGGCGGGCAUGCCUGUUCGAGCGUCAUUACGCCCCUCAAGUCCCCUGUGGACUUGGUGUUGGGGAUCGGCGAGGCUGGUUUUCCAGCACAGCCGUCCCUUAAAUUAAUUGGCGGUCUCGCCGUGGCCCUCCUCUGCGCAGUAGUAAAACACUCGCAACAGGAGCCCGGCGCGGUCCACUGCCGUAAAACCCCCCAACUUUUUAUAGUUGACCUCGAAUCAGGUAGGACUACCCGCUGAACUUAAGCAUAUCAAUAAGCGGAGGA
RNAcentral lists this unclassified non-coding RNA (358 nucleotides) under soil metagenome. RNAcentral describes it as "partial contains 5.8S ribosomal RNA, internal transcribed spacer 2, and large subunit ribosomal RNA". The stretch from base 1 to 120 matches the Rfam family "5.8S ribosomal RNA", at positions 35 to 154 of the family's 154-position model. The record is from RNAcentral.